Molecule: long non-coding RNA, 2691 nt
Organism: Ornithorhynchus anatinus (platypus)
Lineage: Eukaryota; Metazoa; Chordata; Mammalia; Monotremata; Ornithorhynchidae
Exons: 2
Source: RefSeq, a predicted model, not a curated record
GAGAGGGGGCCAUGAAGGGCAGCUAUGAGGGGCAGCCAUGAGGCCCAGCCAUGAGGAACAGCAAUGAGUGGUGGCCAUGAAGGGAAGCCAUGAGGGGCAGCCAUGAGGGGCAACCAUGAGGGGCAGCCAUGAAGGGCAGCCAUGAGGGACAGCUCUGAGGGGCGGCCAAGAGACCCAGCCAUGAGGGACAGCUAUGAGGGGUGGCCAUGAAGGGCAGCCAUGAGGCCUGGUUAUUAGGGGCAGUGAUGAGAGGCAGCUAUGAUGGGCAGCCAACAGGCCUGGCCAUGAGGGGCGGCCAUGAUGGACAGUUAUGGGGGCGGCCAAGAGGCCCAGCCAUGAGGGGCAGCCGUGAGGGUGGCCGUGAAAGGCAGCUAGGAGGGGCGGCCAAGAGGGGCAGUCAUGGGGAACAGCUAUGAGGGGUGGCCAUGAAGGGCCCAGCCAUGAGGGGCGGCCAUGAAGGGCAGCUAUGAGGGGCAGCCAAGAGGCCAUGAGGGACAGCUAUGAGUGGUGGCCAUAAAGGGCAGCCAUGAAGGGCAGCCAUGAGGGACAGCUAUGUGGGGCGGCCAUGAAGGGCAGCUAUGAGGGGCAGCCAAGAGGCCCAGGCAUGAGGAACAGCUAUGAGGGGUGACCAUGAGGCCUGGUUAAGAGAGGCAGCCAUGAGAGGCAGCUAUAAGGGACAGCCAUGAGGGGCGGCCAUGAAGGGCAACCAUGAGGGGUGGCCAAGAGGCCCGGCCGCGAGGGGUGGCCAAGAAGGGCAGUUAUGAGGGGUGGCCAAGAGGCCUGGUUAAGAGGGGCAGCCAUGAGAGGCAGCUAUGAGGGGCAGCCAAGAGGCCUGGCCGUGAGGGGCGGCCAUGAAGGGCAACCAUGAGGGGUGGCCAAGAGGCCCGGCCCUGAGGGGUGGCCAAGAAGGGCAGUUAUGAGGGGUGGCCAAGAGGCCUGGUUAAGAGGGGCAGCCAUGAGAGGCAGCUAUGAGGGGCAGCCAAGAGGCCUGGCCGUGAGGGGCGGCCAUGAAGGGCAACCAUGAGGGGUGGCCAAGAGGCCCGGCCGCGAGGGGUGGCCAAGAAGGGCAGUUAUGAGGGGUGGCCAAGAGGCCUGGUUAAGAGGGGCAGCCAUGAGAGGCAGCUAUGAGGGGCAGCCAAGAGGCCUGGUUAAGAGGGGCAGCCAUGAGAGGCAGCUAUGAGGGGCAGCCAAGAGGUCUGGCCGUGAGGGGCGGCCAUGAGGGGCUGCUAUAAGGGACAGCCAUGAGGGGCGGCCAUGAAGGGCAACCAUGAGGGGUGGCCAAGAAGGGCAGUUAUGAGGGGUGGCCAAGAGGCCUGGUUAAGAGGGGCAGCCAUGAGAGGCAGCUAUGAGGGGCAGCCAAGAGGCCUGGUUAUGAGGGGCGGCCAUGAGGGGCGGCCAAGAGGCCCGGUUAUGAGGGGCAGCCAUGAGGGGUGGCCAAGAACCCUGGUUAUGAGGGGCAGCCAUGAGGGACGGCCAAGAGGCCCAGUCAUGAGGGGCGGCCUGUCAGCAGCCCCCGCGGGUCCAGGGUGCCGAGCGGCACACCCUCCCUUAGGAAGAGGAGGCAGGCGAGAAGGCAGCCGCCAUUCUCCGAGGGUGACAACCCCGAGAUGCCGCGCUUCUCCUAGGCACGGCCUAGUAGCGAGAGCCCGGGUUUAGGAGUCACGGCAGAUUGGAAUUCCAGCGAGUGUAGGGUUUGGCCGGCUUGGAUAUAUGAAACGAAAGUUCCACUGGACCUUUUUCAAGUAGUUUAAUUCGAGUAUUUGGGCUGUACGCGUAUGGGCCUGCUUUGGAAAGAGAGGGUAAAAUCUCUGAAAAUUCAGGAACGCCUCCAGGAUUUUUGUAGGCGAUUAAGAAGGGCAGGUUGAUGAACCAACCCGAAUAUUUAGACCUUAGACGGUUGAAAAAAUAAUGCCCAAGUGCAGUCUUCUGUGUUUAGAUUACGGCUUAGAAGAGGAAAGAAUAAAAAUGAUGGCUGAAAAAGAGGCAUAUUAAUGUUCUUUGAGGACCACCGUAUUGAUUACAUACUAAAUAUAGGUGGACUCAGCUGUUGGGGAAGAAGAGACGGGACCAGCUGCUGGCCACAUUUCCCGCUUUAUUUUAAAAGGUAGCAUCAGAAACGAGGACUAAUGCGGUAACGUCAGGGCUUUUCUCUUCACCUUCCAAGCGUGCGCAAUUCAAAAGACCGAUUCCAGCCGUCCAGCGUCCCGAACGCGAGAGGUGGUUUUGUAGACGGAAACCUUCGCGUAACCGGCAAAGGUUGUUGCUGGAAAAAAAACGGGCUGGGUUUUUCACCCCCGUGUCCGAUCCGCAGUCGGCACGGCCACGGUGCCGCUGUUGACCGUGCCGGCCGCGGUGCCGGGCCAAUUUCGAACCUCUAACCCUCCGUAGGGUGCGAAACCCUCCGCUUCUAAAAGCAGCAUCAAGCGCCAAGAAUACAACCGCUUAGAUUUAUUUUUUUAGGGCCUCCGGGAUCGUGCAACCCCAAAGUAGCCGGGGAGCUCGUAAGGAAUCGAAUUUGCGCUCUCCUUUUCGAAUUCUCUUAAACGCAGCCUUUUCGCAGCAGAAGACUCGAGUUGGAUUUGAACUCCAGUUGGAUUUGAACGCUUCGGUGUAUAUUUCGGUGGGCGUGACUGUGCCGUACCCACGAGCGGAGGAAUAUGGUGCCGCCAAUAAAAACCGGGCUUAAUGAUC